UACAGAGGUCCCGAGCGUUGUUCGGAUUCACUGGGCGUAAAGGGUGCGUAGGUGGUCGGGUAAGUCUGAUGUGAAAGCUCUGGGCUCAACCCAGAAAUGGCAUUGGAUACUAUCCGGCUAGAGGAGUGGAGGGGGGACUGGAAUACUUGGUGUAGCAGUGAAAUGCGUAGAUAUCAAGUGGAACACCAGUGGCGAAGGCGAGUCCCUGGACACUUCCUGACACUGAGGCACGAAAGCUAGGGGAGCAAACAGGAUUAGAAACCUGGUAGUCC
This 272-nucleotide ribosomal RNA is filed under the name uncultured prokaryote. RNAcentral describes it as "partial 16S ribosomal RNA". It matches the Rfam family "Bacterial small subunit ribosomal RNA", at positions 524 to 796 of the family's 1533-position model. The record is from RNAcentral.